Molecule: ribosomal RNA, 1333 nt
Filed under: uncultured bacterium
Lineage: Bacteria
Description: bacterial SSU rRNA
Rfam family: Bacterial small subunit ribosomal RNA
Source: RNAcentral
GACGAACGCUGGCGGCGCGCCUAACACAUGCAAGUCGAACGAGCGAGAGAGAGCUUGCUUUCUCGAGCGAGUGGCGAACGGGUGAGUAACGCGUGAGGAACCUGCCUCAAAGAGGGGGACAACAGUUGGAAACGACUGCUAAUACCGCAUAAGCCCACGGCUCGGCAUCGAGCAGAGGGAAAAGGAGCAAUCCGCUUUGAGAUGGCCUCGCGUCCGAUUAGCUAGUUGGUGAGGUAACGGCCCACCAAGGCAACGAUCGGUAGCCGGACUGAGAGGUUGAACGGCCACAUUGGGACUGAGACACGGCCCAGACUCCUACGGGAGGCAGCAGUGGGGAAUAUUGCACAAUGGGGGAAACCCUGAUGCAGCGACGCCGCGUGGAGGAAGAAGGUCUUCGGAUUGUAAACUCCUGUUGUUGGGGAAGAUAAUGACGGUACCCAACAAGGAAGUGACGGCUAACUACGUGCCAGCAGCCGCGGUAAAACGUAGGUCACAAGCGUUGUCCGGAAUUACUGGGUGUAAAGGGAGCGCAGGCGGGAAGACAAGUUGGAAGUGAAAUCUAUGGGCUCAACCCAUAAACUGCUUUCAAAACUGUUUUUCUUGAGUAGUGCAGAGGUAGGCGGAAUUCCCGGUGUAGCGGUGGAAUGCGUAGAUAUCGGGAGGAACACCAGUGGCGGAGGCGGCCUACUGGGCACCAACUGACGCUGAGGCUCGAAAGUGUGGGUAGCAAACAGGAUUAGAUACCCUGGUAGUCCACACCGUAAACGAUGAUUACUAGGUGUUGGAGGAUUGACCCCUUCAGUGCCGCAGUUAACACAAUAAGUAAUCCACCUGGGGAGUACGACCGCAAGGUUGAAACUCAAAGGAAUUGACGGGGGCCCGCACAAGCAGUGGAGUAUGUGGUUUAAUUCGACGCAACGCGAAGAACCUUACCAAGUCUUGACAUCCCUUGACAGGCAUAGAAAUAUGUUUUCUCUUCGGAGCAAGGAGACAGGUGGUGCAUGGUUGUCGUCAGCUCGUGUCGUGAGAUGUUGGGUUAAGUCCCGCAACGAGCGCAACCCUUAUGCGUCAGUUACUACGCAAGAGGACUCUGGCCAGACUGCCGUUGACAAAACGGAGGAAGGUGGGGAUGACGUCAAAUCAUCAUGCCCUUUAUGACUUGGGCUACACACGUACUACAAUGGCGUUAAACAAAGAGAAGCAAGACCGCGAGGUGGAGCAAAACUCAGAAACAACGUCCCAGUUCGGACUGCAGGCUGCAACUCGCCUGCACGAAGUCGGAAUUGCUAGUAAUCGUGGAUCAGCAUGCCACGGUGAAUACGUUCCCGGGCCU